UAGGGAAUCUUCGGCAAUGGACGAAAGUCUGACCGAGCAACGCCGCGUGAGUGAAGAAGGUUUUCGGAUCGUAAAACUCUGUUGUUAGAGAAGAACAAGGACGUUAGUAACUGAACGUCCCCUGACGGUAUCUAACCAGAAAGCCACGGCUAACUACGUGCCAGCAGCCGCGGUAAUACGUAGGUGGCAAGCGUUGUCCGGAUUUAUUGGGCGUAAAGCGAGCGCAGGCGGUUUCUUAAGUCUGAUGUGAAAGCCCCCGGCUCAACCGGGGAGGGUCAUUGGAAACUGGGAGACUUGAGUGCAGAAGAGGAGAGUGGAAUUCCAUGUGUAGCGGUGAAAUGCGUAGAUAUAUGGAGGAACACCAGUGGCGAAGGCGGCUCUCUGGUCUGUAACUGACGCUGAGGCUCGAAGGCGUGGGGAGCAAACAGA
Molecule: ribosomal RNA, 429 nt
Filed under: Gemmatimonadota bacterium
Lineage: Bacteria; Pseudomonadati; Gemmatimonadota
Description: Gemmatimonadetes bacterium partial 16S ribosomal RNA
Rfam family: Bacterial small subunit ribosomal RNA
Source: RNAcentral